This 67-nucleotide transfer RNA is filed under the name Marmota monax (woodchuck). RNAcentral describes it as "tRNA.Ala". The record is from RNAcentral. Lineage: Eukaryota; Metazoa; Chordata; Mammalia; Rodentia; Sciuridae.
GGUUGUAGAUCAGUGGUAGAGCACUUGCUUAGCACACAUGAGGCACUGGGUUCAAGCCUCAGCACCA